This 29-nucleotide non-coding RNA is filed under the name Rattus norvegicus (Norway rat). The record is from RNAcentral. Lineage: Eukaryota; Metazoa; Chordata; Mammalia; Rodentia; Muridae.
GACUAACACGGUGCUGGUCAGAUCUAUGU